Long non-coding RNA from Gossypium arboreum, 379 nucleotides. RefSeq lists it as uncharacterized. NCBI's taxonomy places the organism in Eukaryota, Viridiplantae, Streptophyta, Magnoliopsida, Malvales, Malvaceae. The record is from RefSeq and is a predicted model, not a curated record. The transcript is spliced from 2 exons.
UGUAUUAAAGAAUUAAAUGGAUGAAAUAUGAAGUUUUAUUAAAAGAAAAAUGGGUGAAAAGAACAAAGUUUUGUCCAUCUUUGUUCAUCAUAGCUGAAAGUUAGAAAAGAGAAAGGAGAGGAGAAAGCUCUUGAGUAUUCGGUCAUUAGGAGGAGGAAAAUUGAAGGUGAGUCUUGAUGUGGGUGACUUGGAGCCAGAGGGGAUUCAGAGUGGCCAUUGUGAACACUUUUGGGUUUGAAAAAGAGACUGGUUUUCUUAAGUUAUUUUUAAUUACUAUUUAAGUUUUGGGUUGUAAUAAGGCCAUUUUAACUUUAUUUUCUUCUUUGAUUUUCUGAGAUUAUAUUAUUUUAAACAACUUUAAAUUGAUGGAUAAUAAUAA